Molecule: long non-coding RNA, 313 nt
Organism: Drosophila miranda
Lineage: Eukaryota; Metazoa; Arthropoda; Insecta; Diptera; Drosophilidae
Exons: 3
Source: RefSeq, a predicted model, not a curated record
CCGCUCGUUCGGCUCGCACUUCUCGCGAGAGCCGAGCCAGAGCCGAGCCAGAGCCGAAGUGCCCGCCGAGGCACAAUGUUACCUCAUGUUGCUUGUAAUCCGCAUGCAAGCCGCUCUCUGCCGUUGAGCGUGACCCAAGGUAUAAUUGUCAGUCAGCAACGUAACUGGAGGGGCUUGGAGAAACUAGCAGAAAUUGUGGUGGACCAUGUGAUAUCUUAGUGGUUUUCUUCAAGGUUCUAUUAUCCAUUAAAGCCAGAAACUCAAAUACUUGCGCAUCCCCAAAUAAAGCUCAUUAGCAAUCACUUUCGUGAUU